UUAAGUUCAGCGGGUAAUCCUACUCGAUUUGAGGUCAAGUUAUCAAAUAUUGUCCUGAGACGGUUUGAAGCACAGAGCUCCUAAUCAGACAGAAAACAGCGAGGGUUACUUAUCACGCCGUACUAUGUUUAACUAAGAGUCGCACUAACUUAUUUAAGAUGAGCCUGACAGUAAGUACCAGGCAACAUCCAAAUCCACCG
Molecule: unclassified non-coding RNA, 200 nt
Filed under: Helvellosebacina sp.
Lineage: Eukaryota; Fungi; Basidiomycota; Agaricomycetes; Sebacinales; Sebacinaceae
Description: partial internal transcribed spacer 2
Source: RNAcentral